RNAcentral lists this ribosomal RNA (1457 nucleotides) under uncultured bacterium. RNAcentral describes it as "16S ribosomal RNA". It matches the Rfam family "Bacterial small subunit ribosomal RNA". The record is from RNAcentral.
AGAGUUUGAUCCUGGCUCAGAGUGAACGCUGGCGGCGUGCCUAAUACAUGCAAGUCGAACGAUGAAGCUCUAGCUUGCUAGAGUGGAUUAGUGGCGCACGGGUGAGUAAUGCAUAGAUAACAUGCCCUUUAGUCUAGGAUAGCCAUUGGAAACGAUGAUUAAUACUGGAUACUCCUUACGAGGGAAAGUUUUUCGCUAAAGGAUUGGUCUAUGUCCUAUCAGCUUGUUGGUGAGGUAAUGGCUCACCAAGGCUAUGACGGGUAUCCGGCCUGAGAGGGUGAACGGACACACUGGAACUGAGACACGGUCCAGACUCCUACGGGAGGCAGCAGUAGGGAAUAUUGCUCAAUGGGGGAAACCCUGAAGCAGCAACGCCGCGUGGAGGAUGAAGGUUUUCGGAUUGUAAACUCCUUUUGUUAGAGAAGAUAAUGACGGUAUCUAACGAAUAAGCACCGGCUAACUCCGUGCCAGCAGCCGCGGUAAUACGGAGGGUGCAAGCGUUACUCGGAAUCACUGGGCGUAAAGAGCGCGUAGGCGGGAUAGCAAGUCAGAUGUGAAAUCCUAUGGCUUAACCAUAGAACUGCAUUUGAAACUGUUAUUCUAGAGUAUGGGAGAGGUAGGUGGAAUUCUUGGUGUAGGGGUAAAAUCCGUAGAGAUCAAGAGGAAUACUCAUUGCGAAGGCGACCUGCUAGAACAUAACUGACGCUGAUGCGCGAAAGCGUGGGGAGCAAACAGGAUUAGAUACCCUGGUAGUCCACGCCCUAAACGAUGAAUGCUAGUUGUUGUGGAGCUUGUCUCUGCAGUAAUGCAGCUAACGCAUUAAGCAUUCCGCCUGAGGAGUACGGUCGCAAGAUUAAAACUCAAAGGAAUAGACGGGGACCCGCACAAGCGGUGGAGCAUGUGGUUUAAUUCGAAGAUACACGAAGAACCUUACCUAGGCUUGACAUUGAUAGAAUCCGCUAGAGAUAGUGGAGUGCUAGCUUGCUAGAACUUGAAAACAGGUGCUGCACGGCUGUCGUCAGCUCGUGUCGUGAGAUGUUGGGUUAAGUCCCGCAACGAGCGCAACCCUCGUCCUUAGUUGCUAACUAUUCGGUAGAGCACUCUAAGGAGACUGCCUUCGCAAGGAGGAGGAAGGUGAGGAUGACGUCAAGUCAUCAUGGCCCUUACGCCUAGGGCUACACACGUGCUACAAUGGGAAGCACAAAGAGAUGCAAUAUUGUGAAAUGGAGCAAAUCUAUAAAACUUCUCUCAGUUCGGAUUGUAGUCUGCAACUCGACUACAUGAAGCUGGAAUCGCUAGUAAUCGUAAAUCAGCUAUGUUACGGUGAAUACGUUCCCGGGUCUUGUACUCACCGCCCGUCACACCAUGGGAGUUGUAUUCGCCUUAAGUCGGAAUGCCAAACUGGCUACCGCCCACGGCGGAUGCAGCGACUGGGGUGAAGUCGUAACAAGGUAACC